GUGGUGAGCUGCACCAGCUGUGACCUAAUGUGGUCCCCCUCAGUUAAGGACAUCCUGGGUAGUGGAUAUUGGCCUGGCACCUUAAAUUUCUGCACCCUGUUUUCAAUGGAUGUCUUUCAGUCUUUCUAUGACAUUAAGAAGGCUGCACCAGGGAUGUCACUUAAGGCAUUUGUCAAAAUGCUGGAUGAAAGAACAGCCCAUUUUGGAAGGACUGGCCGAAUAUCAGCUGAUGCCUUCAGUAAAAGCUUUGUGGAGUGGAGUGCUGUUUGAGAUGGACAGGAUGUGCAAGGAGCCAUGCGUUAGCUGCCCUGCCUGCACUCCAGACGUGCUUGCCGUCUCAGUUGAUGGAAACUGUAAGCUUUAUCGCUUUCAAUCUAAUGCAAGCACUUCAGAGCAGGGGAACUUUGAAGGUGUUUUCAUUGAAAAAGAUGAGGAAGUUGCUGAGUUUAUGAAAUACAUCCAGAGACACACAAAUGAGGUGGCUCAGCUGAGGAACCUCUUGUCAAUGCGUCCUUUUCUCUCCGUCAUGCAUGCAAAGGCUCUCAUUUGGAAAUGCGAGAUCAAAUGGGGAGGUGCGUUUCAGGAUGGGGCCGGUUCUACAACAGGAAAAGAGGUGGGACAAGUAAACAGUUUCCUGUCUAGGGCGGCCACUGAAGUACAUGUCUAAAGCAGGGCGAACAGACAUGCUGACCCUCCUGGCUUUGGGGUGGAACAAAAGGAAAGUGGAACAACUGGGCCGCAGUUUGAGCCAGAGAUAUCUCAAGAUCAUACGGAUCCUUAGAGAACAAGUGGAGAGCCUGAAUGCGACCAAAAAUGAGCUGGGUGUGGAUGACGACACACUGCAGCAAUGGGUGGCCGAUGUGCAGAAAUGGGCUGAAGAAACUGAUCAAACUGAUGGCAGCCUUGGAGCGUUGCAGGCACGAAUAGAGGAGCUUGUCGUCAUCAUCAGAGUGCGAACACAAGGUUUUUACAGACAAAAUGAUAGCAACAAGAGGCGACACAGAAUUCGCAAGGUCAUCUUAGAUGAGAAGAAACGCUUGGCGGCUGCUGUUGACGACCACAACAAGCUUGCUGAACCAACAAAGCAAAUUGUAUCCAGUGAUGCCCUCAUCCAGACCGACAUUUGGCUCUGGCAGAGCACAAGUGAACCUGCUGCAGACCUCCAGACAAAGAGGUCUUUGAGAAGGUGAUGGCUGUGAGGCGCCUGAGAGAGGAGGAGAUGAUCCUUUGCAGGGAGAUGCGGCAUCACUGGACAGUGUUGCGAAUGCGAUCUGUGGUGUUGGACAAUCUCCUCAGACUCCUCCCUUGUUGGCAUGUCGGAGGAUGCACAGAAGGGACUCCAUAGCCUGGUUUUAAAAAAACAAAGUGAACUGAAAGCUGAAAUGCUCAAAGUAAAGGACAUGUACAAGAGAAUCCUCAGCCACCAACCACUCCUGGAAAUGGACUCGGAGGAGGAGGAGGACAUUCCAGACGAUGCCACUGAGCGUGAUUUGAG
Long non-coding RNA from Oreochromis aureus, 1495 nucleotides. The record is from Ensembl. NCBI's taxonomy places the organism in Eukaryota, Metazoa, Chordata, Actinopteri, Cichliformes, Cichlidae.